This 380-nucleotide ribosomal RNA is filed under the name uncultured eukaryote. RNAcentral's name for it is "partial 18S ribosomal RNA". It matches the Rfam family "Eukaryotic small subunit ribosomal RNA", at positions 592 to 976 of the family's 1831-position model. The record is from RNAcentral.
CAAUAGCGUAUAUUAAAGUUGUUGCAGUUAAAAAGCUCGUAGUUGGAUUUGUGGCGUACGGUGUGUUCCGGGCACUUGUUGUCUGAGUAACCUGCUGUUGCCAUCCUUGGGUGGAACCUGUGUGGCAUUAGGUUGUCGUGCAGGGGAUGCCCAUCAUUUACUGUGAAAAAAUUAGAGCGUUCAAAGCAGGCUUAUGCCGUUGAAUAUAUUAGCAUGGAAUAAUGAGAUAGGACUUUUUUGCUAUUUUGUUGGUUUGCGCAAAGAGGUAAUGAUUAAUAGGGACAGUUGGGGGUAUUCGUAUUCCAUUGUCAGAGGUGAAAUUCUUGGAUUUUUGGAAGACGAACUACUGCGAAAGCAUUUACCAAGGAUGUUUUCAUUAA